Rattus norvegicus (Norway rat) is the source of this 7069-nucleotide long non-coding RNA. RefSeq lists it as uncharacterized. Lineage: Eukaryota; Metazoa; Chordata; Mammalia; Rodentia; Muridae. The record is from RefSeq and is a predicted model, not a curated record.
UGUCCAUGGUUCACUGUGACUCACAGUGGGAGGGCGCUGUCCAACAGUGUAGGGAAGGCAUGGCCACACACCAGGAGGCAACCAGGCACUUCGUGUCCACAGUCAGGAAGCAGAGAUGGAUGCAGAAUUGGGAAACUGAGCCCAUACACAGGGCAGGAAACAUUGAAAGGUUCCAGGACCCAGUGGCCUUGCAAGUGAUGGAGAAGGCCUGGGCCUGGGAGUGGCCUGGGAAAGCCCUGCCUCCUGCACCUCCGGUCACCCUCAAACAUCAUCCACCAGCCCUUCUUAAUCAUGAUGUCCCUAACCACAGAGGCCUCCUCAUCCUUGCCACCCCAGGUAGCAGUCCUGAUUCUGAGAUGCCAUCCUGAACCCCGUGGAUGCCCAGAAACCAAUUAAAGCCUCCAUUAGAGCCAAAGAAAGAGCUGCGGCUGGAGGAGAUGAAGAGGGACGCACUUCUAAUUAGACACGCGGCCACCCACCCCUGUCCUUUCUAGAUAAAUGCAAAGGAUCGAGAGGAAAAGUAAUUAAAACUCGCAUGUGGCUCUAUCACCAUGAGCUCUGCCCCCUCCCAGCUCCUAGGUCCAAUUGAUUCUCACCAGCCUUUGAGGAGAGGCAACUUGGAGGAAGGUCAGCAGACCUGAAGGUCAGCCCACCCCACCCCUGUUCCAAUGGACUGGGAGCUCCUUAGGGCUACGGAUCAGGUCAGUUGGCCUUGCCUCUCUCCUCAGAUGGGAAAUAAAAGCAACUGGGAGCCUGUGCCCUGUGCUAGGCAGCCUGCCUGGGCCAACAUGGAACGAGUAGCUAAGGCUAGCUCAGCCUCUGUCUCUGGACCCUGCUUUACAGAUCUAUCUUUUUUUUUUUUUUUGGUUCUUUUUUUUCGGAGCUGGGGACCGAACCCAGGGCCUUGUGCUUCCUAGGUAAGCGCUCUACCACUGAGCUAAAUCCCCAGCCCCCAGAUUUAUCUUUUAUCCUUUUCAGUAUGUAUUUUAUCCUUUUCAUGCCUUUCCCAGGUACUGAAAGUUAGUUGGGAAUUAGCACAUCACAUCACCUCGCCGGGGAAAGGCCCUGCAGUGGGCAAAAUGCAGCAUCGGGAAUAAAGAGAUGAGUUUAUGCAGAGUUCAGGUACGGACCACCAGGCAGGUCUCCAGGACACCUAGGCCGGCCUUAUACUCUCUCUAUAACCAAGGAUGACCUUGGACUUCUUUUUAAAAUAUCUACUGAUUUACUUUAGGUGCCCCUGCAUGAGUUUUGUAUAUGCCAUAUGGAUACUUAAGUCUACAAAGGCCAGAAAAGGCAUCGGAGCCCUGGGGUUGGAGUUACAGAGGGCUCUGAGCCACCAUGUGGGUGCUGAGAGCUCGCUCAGGUCCUCUGGAAGAGCAGUCCAUGUUUUUAACCAGACUUCGAACUUUUGAUUCUCUUACCUCUGUCUCUUGAGUGCUGGCAUUGUGAGUAUGCACUACCACUCCUGGCUUGUGCUGGGGACUGAACCCAAGGCUUGGUGCACGCCAGGGAAGCCACAUCCUCAGCCCUGAAAGAUCACCUUUAAAAACAAUGUCAGUGAAGGAAUGGGUGGGCUGUGUGGUGACACAUACAACUGGACUGAUGUGUGUGUGUGACUGUCAGUCAGCUUCUUGGGCUUGUCCACAUCAGUCUCACGGGGCCACUGCCCAACCCACAUGCACACAGGUGUCCUCAUUGACAAAUGUCACAACAGUAUCUGCAAUUUUUGUUUUUUGAGAGAGGAUCUCUGGCUAUCCUGGAACUCCCUAUGUAGAUCAGGCUGGCCUCUAACUCACAGAGAUCUACCUCCUUCUGCCUUCCAAGUGCUGGGAUUAAAGACAUACACCGUCAUUUCUUAAAUCAUCGAACAUAUUUCACAUUGUCCAGCAGCCCUACUCCAGAUACCAUCCAAGAGCAGAAAAUGCACAUGUUCACACUAAAAUUCACUUCUGAUCAGAGAAGCAUUGAUCACGAUGGCCUUCAAGUUAAAAAUCUGCGAAAACAUACAUUUCACUUUUGGGUGUGUGAACACAACAUAGGGCCUUCUAUUCAACUGUAAGAAGUAUAUACCAGAAUGAAUGAAUGAAUGAAUGAAUGAAUGAAUGAAUGAAUGAAUAAGUGAGUUUAUAUGUGCAUGAAGGAAUGAAUAAGGCAAAUAUUUUUUCUAAUGCCUGCUACCUGAUUGGUAAGGAGCCAUCCCUUCAUCUCUCUCUGCUGCCUCUGGCCUUCACUUCAGCUCAUAUUUCCUGGGGUCCUGGGGUCUUGGGCUUAGGACUUGAGUGGAUGUUGUGUGUGUAGAGGAGGCUUCUGUGCUGUCUGAACAUCGUCCCAAGCUCAUACUUUGCUCGUUACAUCUUUAGCAUCACACAGCUAAUUGGCAUCCGUUGUUGUUUCAGAGGGAGGAUGAGCAAAGACUCAGGUGAAGUGGUUACCUACCUGCCCAGCCAGGAGCUGACGUGGCCUGGCCUGUGUGUAGGGAAGAGGAGGCUGUGAACGCAGAAAGGCUUAAGUGCAAAGCUGUGUGGCCUCCAGCAGGUUGCUUAACCUGUGAACUGGGGGUAAAGGUGACCUUGGAAGUCAUAGGUCCUGGGGACAAGAGCGCUGUCCUGGCAGGUGACUUUUCCUUUGAGCUGAUGGCAGCUGCUCUCCCUGUCAUCUUCUCCCUGCAAUGCCAUGGCCUCAGAGAUGGAACCUUACUGCAGCUCCAUUCUUCUUCUGCAGCUCCAUCAGCCUCAUGAAAGCAGCAGGGCCCAGGCAGUGCUGGCCUGCUUCCUUCCAGCCCUGCAGGUCCAUGGCUGCCCUUGCUGCUUUCUUACCUUCCCCACUGAUAUAGCUCCAUCUCUUGGGGCGGAUACUGCAGUCAGGGCCACCCAUCUGAGGUGGAGACCUGUGACACCAGCCCCUCACCCAGGGCGAACUGCAGAAAGCAGAGGGAAACCUUGGCAGGUAGUCCAGGGUGGUGAGAGCUGCCAGUUGGGCUGACGUGCAGGGAGACCCCAGGGGCCAAAGCAGAUGGCUUCUUUCAGAGUCUAAUUAUCCACCAGCCCAGAGCCAGAAGGCUCUGAGUACAGCAGCGACCAUGUUUCUCUUUUCCUGGGUGUAGCUGGGCAGAGGCUGUCACUGGCACAGGGUGCUCCAGCCUCACUAUUGUUUCCCGCUCUCUUCCUUCAAUUUCCCAGGUGCUUGGGAGCCCUGGCUGUGAUUGACUCACCCCAGGUGUCCGGUGCCCUACACAUAAUGUGGUACACAGUUGGUGCUCAAUAAUUGGUUGCUAAAAUGAAUGAAUGAUGGAUGAGUUUGCCAUGGUUUGGCUUUGCUCUCAAGAUGGUGCCAGGCCCUCUUUUGGUAAGCUCGAGAUGGAUAGUUUAUCUCAGAGCCCGUCCCCCUUGGCUUCCCACAACCAUCUCUCUAUCCUUAUUUGGCAGCCCGUGAUCUCCUUUGUCGCUGGCUACCUGAGAGAAUGAUCAAUACAUUUAAUUUAUACCAGACUAAAGAUGAUAGAUAGACAGCACUGUCUUCCUUCACAUGUAUGUUGUGGAUAAACCCUAAUCCAACAGGAUGAGGUUUAGUGGCCAAAGCCAGGUCCCUUCACGGGCCUCAUCUCUGGAGAGUCUAUUUUCACUCUUACUGGUCCUGAGGCUUUCCAGGUUUCACCACCACAUAACUCAGUGGCUCCUUAGAACUGCAGAGGUAACGCCAGUACCCCACACAGCAAGGUUCUCCAGUCUCUGCCUGAAAUGACGGGACUCCCUACCUCACGCAUAGCCAUCUGUUGCUGGACUGAGACUUACUGCCAAGUAGCUGGUUUGCCCGUGCCUGCUGUCUGGGGCCAGGAUCACAGAGAAGCACUCCCUCUAAAUAAAGAUCUCUGCACAUGCGUGCAUCUGUCUGUCCUCCUCCAACCCCCUAGACAAGACGGACACCAGGUCAGCCCAGACACCCAGAGAGGUCCCCCAGGACUGGGUAAGUCAUUGGCUUGAAAAUACCACCAAUGUCAAGUGAGUGGUCAUUCCUGGCCAGGUUCUGGCAGCAGAAGCUUUCUGGGACUGAUUUAUACAGUCUUCACCUGGGGCCAUAGUCGAACCCUGCCACCAGCUCACUUAUGAGGAAUCCAGCCAGAGGGAUCUUCAGUGACAUUUGCAAGGUGACACAGUCCAAAGCAGUGGAGGCAGGAUCCGAACCCAGAUCUGCCAGAUGCCUCAUAUUGCCACCCCACAAGAUCAUAUUUGUGUGUGUGUGUGUGUGUGUGUGUGUGUGUGUGUGUGUGUGUGUGAAUGAGAGAGAGAGGGGGAGAGAGAGAGAGGGAGAGAGAGAGAGAGAAAAAGAGAGAGAGAGAGAGAGAGAAUGUCUGUGUCAGUCUUGGCUUUAAAAUUAUUCUUCCUCCUCUCCCUCUUCUUCUCUUCCUUUUUCUGAAAUAAAUUCUCACAUAGCCCAGGCUAGCCUCAACAUUAAUAUGUUGCUGAGGAUAACCUUGAACUCCUGAUUUUCCAGGUGCUGCUGUCACUGGCGUGAGCCACCACAGCGCCUCAUCCUUUCUCAUCUUGACAGCUGCAGGUGACAGCUUUGCUAAGGUGUGGUUCUUGGUGUCUUGAUGGCCCCUCCCAGUGUGAGCUUGUCAAGGGGCUGUGGCCUCUCACCAGUAGCUCUUUCACCUCACCUGUAAUUAAAAUUCCACUGUGCUGUUCUCAUUUUUAAAAUAGUUCCAUUGGUCCACAUAUGCUGAAGGUGUAAACAGUGACAAACGUGGACUUUCACUCAGGGGGUCAUCCCCACCUGUAGGGAGCGAUGGAAGGAGGAGACACCUGCUAACACCGGUUAAUACCUGAUGUGCUCCCCCUUUACAGCUACGCCACAGCUCUUCACCCCUUAUACAGAGGCUAUUGGAAAGAGAUGGUGGUGGUGCUGCUGCUGCUGCUGCUGGCAGUGGUGGUAUUGGUGGCAGCAGCGGUGGUGGAACAUUCGGGAAAGUCUCCUAUCCCAUGAGCCUUUGCACCAUCCACCAGGAAAUCUUAGUAGCUUGACCUCCCGAGUUUCUCCUGCAGGAGUCAAGCUGCUCCGGCUGGCUCCCAACUCUCUAUGUGGCCAAAGAUGCCCUUGAGCUUUGGAUGCUUUUACCUGAAGCUCUUGAGUGCUGGGACUGCAGGUCUGCCCCAUCAUGCUUUCCUUAGGCAGUGCUGGGGGUGGGAUCUGGGGCUUCCUGCAUGCGCAGGAAGAACUCUGCUAACUGAGCCACACUCAGGCAGAAGUUGUUUUUUUUUUCUUUGAACACACAGACACACACAGACACACACAGACACACACACACGGACACGGACACACAGAGACACACAUGGACACACAUGUGCACAUGUACAAACACUCUUCACAGGUCUAUGUCUCUGAAGAGUCUAGCAGCAGCAGUAGAUGAGUAUCUAUGUACGGAUUUUAUGUGAGACAAAAGAGUGUGCAUGAGCCUCCACUUACAACGCUCACAAAUUCUCUGACUCCCAGCUGACCGUCCCACCAUUGCCAUCCUGUGUCCGAGGCUGACGGGGGCUGUGCGCUUUGCUGCUAUUCGGCACGCAGAGAGACUUCUGUCUAGAUGUCACUGAGGCAGAUAAGGACCCCAGCAAAGCUCCUGGGUAUGUUUUCUGCUGACUGCUGUCUGUGGUUCACUUCACACAUACUUUAAAAAAAAGGUAAGUUGAAGCAUCCUGUGUUGGUGAAGCAUCCUAUGUUGGGAAACUCUACUUCAGAAGAACUGUGGUCCAGGGCCAGAGUUGGGAGGAGGAGAAGGCAAACGGGCUCUAGUGCCUUAGGAGGCAUGACAGGAUGUGGUGUGCAUAUGUUUAUGAUUCUAACAUCUAUUAAGUUUAUUCCAUGUCACUCUUAGAAAUGAUGCAAUGGGUGCUGAGACUGGGCACAGCUAAAAGUGUGAAAGAACAAAGACAAGGAUCAACUGUGGCCCAGGAACAAGGAGCUUGGAAGCUCAGUGGUCACCAGUAGUUCACCUGAGUCGGUGGUUUUCCAGUCACUGCCUCACGCUGGUGGAGAUGAAAGGUUUGGAACUGUGUGGGAGUAUGAAGGCGAGCACAGGCCUCAUUCAGAGAGGUUAUGAAAAGGUGGGACGUUAAGGAAAGGGGAGACACUUGUGAGUGGGAUGGGCGGGAUGGCUUCCCAGGAUGGCUUCUCAAGAGAAGAAAAUCAACAGGCAGCUUGGGGUUUUGAUAUGAAGACUGAGGUAAUUUCUACUGAGAUUGGUUGGUUCUCUGAGCACAUUGCAAGCCCAGCCAAUGAAAAGCUCCCAGAUCUAUAAAUGUCCCUGCAGCCUAACUGGAGAGACGACCCUGUGCUGUUGACACAUGGCUCACCAGGCUAAGGGUGGUUGAGACCUGCCUUUCCACCUCUGACUUACACUUCGUUACUUGUUCAUUUUCACCAUCUGCUCCGUUAACCUGCUAAUCGACAACCUUGCCGGUGUCUCUUCCGGCUGUUAAUUAGGCUCGGAGCUCUGCGCUCUCGAGAUGACAUCAUCAGCUUGCAGUUUCACAUUGACUGGGCACUAGUUCCGGCACAGCCAACAGAAUGUAGCUAUUUGCUUUGGUUACUCCCUUCUAUUGCCUUGUCUAUGGAGCUGUCUGGGGCCGUCUCUUCUGUCUUAGGUGGAAUCUUCUUGCUAGAAGCUAUCCUUACCCAUAAUGAAGUCUGUUUCAUUCACUACAUUAGAAGCAGAGGGGCAUGAUGGAGCAGCAGUCUCUGGCUUGUGCUCCCAGGGCAUCAUGGGAGCCAGUCUGGUGGCACAGAACUUGAUUCACAGAGUCUCUGCCUUUCUUCUUAUCUCAGCAACUUGGCAACCUCAAAGUUACAAGCCCUCUUAUUUCCUCUUCCUUGGUGUUCCUGAUUAUAACCACUGUAAUCCCAACCUUUCUUUUAAUUCAAGCAACUGUGAGUAAUGUGCAGUUUUCACCAUCUCCUCCCCACCUACCUCAUAUCAGAGAGAAGUGAAAAUGUAUGCCCACACUAACAGGAAUACAUAGUAUUGCGUAUGAUAGUGGAAACAUGGAUACAACUCAAAGAAUGAAUAGCUAAA